CUCUUAGCGUUGAUACUUAGCCUCAUACAUCUCUAUCUUUGAUUGUUGGUUGAUAUUCUGAGUGAUUUUUUAGGGUUUCUUUUUGAGUUAUAUACUUUUCUUCUUCUUCAUAUUUAGUCCCUGUAAUCUUUUGGUGAGAUGUUCUUGAAUGAAUUUAGUGUGCAAUCUAAGAGAUUGUGAGAAGUAUAUUCUGUUGUCAUAGUAGGAAGACGAGAGAAAUUUGAUUUCCUAAUACAUGUCACCUAUUCUUUUGUUGAUUUUAGUGGAUCUAGAGCAAUAUCUACUUAUAGAUGUUCGAUGUGGUUGUUAUGUCGAAGGCUGAACAUCCGUUAAGGGUAAAAAUAAUUCUUCCUAUUCUUGUUAUUUUAAGUUCUACGAUUUAUUUUCUCGUAAACAUUUUUUUAUUUAAACUGGGUUGUAAAAAUUGAUUUGGGACCAACAAAUGAUAUCAGUGCACUUUUCUCUAAAAUCAUGGGUUAUGGUUUUUUUUUUUUCCCUCUGAAAACCCAAGUUUUUAAAAAUCAAUUGCUUGAUGCAGAUCUGGAGAUUUUGAGAAGAUUUUGUGAAAAUAAAUUGGUUUUCUGAAAAAGGUAUUUGUUUGAUUAGCUUUCAAUUCAACUUUUGGUUGGAUCCUUUUAAGAUUUUUGUGUCUUUUGGGUUAGAUCUAUCUUGUUCAAUACUCUACUGUUCAUGAGGUUUAAUUUGUUUUUCCUCUUAUGUACCUUUGACUCUCCUUAGAUCUUGAAUCACUACUGAGCCGUGGUUGUACUUGUAACUCAUACUGGAUUCUAGUAAGUUGAAUUGACUCACUCCGAUUCCUAUUGAUUUCUUGACUCACUGACAAGUUCUGCUAAGUCAUUGUGACUUGUUGGGUUCCUUUGUAUUAUUUGGAAGUAUUGGUUCAAUUCUAGCAUUCUUACACUGCUCCAUUCUUUCCACAAUUUCGCCAUUUUAGACUUUAGUAUAAUCUUCUCACUCCCUUUUAAUCUGCUGUCACUAAAUUGGUUCUGUUAUACUAUGUUUUGGUCAUUAAGAUAAGUAAUCUACCAUUACUUUUCUUUGUUCAAGAAUGUCAUGGGAAGAGCCAACGGGGAGGAAGAAGGAAAUGAAGAGGAGCCA
This 1119-nucleotide long non-coding RNA is filed under the name Olea europaea subsp. europaea. Lineage: Eukaryota; Viridiplantae; Streptophyta; Magnoliopsida; Lamiales; Oleaceae. The record is from RNAcentral.